GCCGGUCCUCGGUAGUGGCCACCGGAACACGACCCCGCCCCGCGGGCGGGCCGUGGGUCCGGCGGCUUCGAUCGAAGGCCGGC
This is a regulatory RNA element of Nakamurella multipartita DSM 44233, 83 nucleotides long. It matches the Rfam family "Actino-pnp RNA". The record is from Rfam. Lineage: Bacteria; Bacillati; Actinomycetota; Actinomycetes; Nakamurellales; Nakamurellaceae.